CAGUGUUACAGCUCUUUUAGAAUUUGUCUAGCAGGUUUUCUGGUACUCACCAGAAACCUCCCUU
RNAcentral lists this small nuclear RNA (64 nucleotides) under Otolemur garnettii (small-eared galago). RNAcentral describes it as "U7 small nuclear RNA". It matches the Rfam family "U7 small nuclear RNA". From Rfam's summary of the family: Animal histone pre-mRNAs are spliced by a different mechanism than nuclear pre-mRNAs and self-splicing introns. Lineage: Eukaryota; Metazoa; Chordata; Mammalia; Primates; Galagidae. The record is from Rfam by way of RNAcentral.